GUAGGUGGCAAGCGUUGUCCGGAAUUAUUGGGCGUAAAGCGCGCGCAGGCGGUUCUUUAAGUCUGAUGUGAAAGCCCACGGCUCAACCGUGGAGGGUCAUUGGAAACUGGAGAACUUGAGUACAGAAGAGGAAAGCGGAAUUCCACGUGUAGCGGUGAAAUGCGUAGAGAUGUGGAGGAACACCAGUGGCGAAGGCGGCUUUCUGGUCUGCAACUGACGCUGAGGCGCGAAAGCGUGGGGAGCAAACAGGAUUAGAUACCCUGGUAGUCCACGCCGUAAACGAUGAGUGCUAAGUGUUAGGGGGUUUUCCGCCCCCCUUAGUGCUGCAGCUAACGCAUUAAGCACUCCGCCUGGGAGUACGGCCGCAAGGCUG
Molecule: ribosomal RNA, 373 nt
Filed under: uncultured organism
Description: partial 16S ribosomal RNA
Rfam family: Bacterial small subunit ribosomal RNA
Source: RNAcentral